Long non-coding RNA from Equus caballus (horse), 6453 nucleotides. The record is from Ensembl. Lineage: Eukaryota; Metazoa; Chordata; Mammalia; Perissodactyla; Equidae.
CCUGAGUGUCCUGGUCACCUCCAGGCUUGGAAAGCUGUAUGACUGCUGCUUCUGUCAUUGAACGACCAAGGGAAACAUUCGUGCUUCCCUAAUGCUGGCCUCCCGGGGGGAGUGUGUUUUAGGAGAUGGGCAGUCUGAUUGAGUCAAACGGUACACACAUCACGGGCCAGUUAAUCCUGGGACUUUACCUAUCAAUGAGAUGAACUUUCCUGUUAGCUAUGUUUCCAAGCCCGUGAACAGAAUUCAGGGGCCUCUGAGAAAGACCUGGCUUGGAGGAUGGAGCGGGGAGUGCAGGUGACUGAAGACCAGGCUUGCUGGAAGGACUGCAGGUUGGAGAUCUCCAUGAUGUUAAGCGAGGUGUCAAGGGAAGACUCCCAAAGAACCCACGCAAGCGCUACACAGGAGAAAGAAUCAGCCUGACCCAGAUUGCAAGGAUUACAACCAAAUACCGAACAUCCUGAAAACAGAGCUGCGUUCUGCCCACUGUAGUUCCCACGAUGGCCUCAGCGCAAAGUGCCAGCUGUGUGAGCUGGUGACCAGGAGCAGGGUCUCUGCCUAGAGAGGUCUACACCUGAGGAAGUGAUGGAUGGGAAACUGAGUGGAGAUCAACGGAAGAGCAAGAACUAUCUCUGUGAUUACAAUUGAAGAUGAAUUGGCCUUGUUGAACUGUAGAGGUUGGGACCAAAGUAUGAAAGAAGAGGACUUAUAAUUGGGCACUUGCCUCUGGGAGGGAAAAAGGAGAUCGCAAACCUGAAGCUGUGCCAUGGGCUUGGCUUUCUGGGCAGGCGAGCCCCCAUGGGCACUAACCGUCUCUCCCCUCCCUGUCCCCACUGUCUCCUGGCUGGUCUUCCUGGCCAGACGCUGGAGGGUGAUCUGCUCUUUCAUAUUGCAGUACAUGACUCAUUUCUUCCUUGCCUUCUGACUUCCUUUCUUUCAUUCCUCAUUCUUAACAGUUUUACCAGCUAUUUAAAAUGCAUACUCUUAGAAAAUAUAAUGCAAAUGCAUGGAAAAGAUGGAAACGGUGGGAAAGGAACACAGAGAAAAUUGUCUUCCUUCCACCCCUGACUCUUGACAAAAGUUCCCUUCUGAAGGACGCACCACUGAUACUAAUUUCCAGAGUAUACCUUCCCAGAGAAAUUAUAUAUAUAUAUCAGCAGAAGUACCUAUCUAUCCAUGUGCGCCAUAGAUGCAAGCCUGUCAUGUGCUUCCUGCAACUUGCUAUUUCAGGCAGACUCCUUCUAAAACACCAUCCUGCUUAAAAUACUUUAAUAGAUCCCAGUUCUCUGCAGAAUAAAGCUCAGUCUCUUCCUGGUCAGAGCAUCUUUCACAAUCUAACUCCCCAAAUGAGCAUUGCCUUCCAGUCCGGUGCCCCUCUCCCUCCAGCUCCCUCCUCCUCCUCCUGCCCCACCCAGGUUUCAGCCUCAGUGGAUCUCCAGACCUAUAAGUCUCACUGCUGUUAGUUCCUUGGUCUAAAGACACUUGCUUUACCUCUUCUGCUUGUCAAAAACAUUCCUUUUUUUUUUUUUAAAGAUUGGCACCUGAGCUAAUAUCUGUUGCCAAUCUUCUUCUUCUUUUUUUUUCCUUCUUCUUCCCAGUGCCCCCCAGUACAUAGUUGUAUAUUGUAGUUGUAGGUCCUUCUGGUUGUGCUGUGUGGGACGCCACCUCACCAUGGCCUGAUGAGUGGUGCUAGGUCCGUGCCCAGGAUCCAAACCAGCGAAACCCUGGGCUGCUGAAGUGGAGUGUGUGAACUUAACCACUUGGCCACAGGGCCGGCCUCUCAUUCGCAUCUUUAAAGAAUCAAUUCCACAUGUCACUCUGCUGUGAAGCCUUCUCCAAAUUUCUCAGCCACGUUGACUGUUCCCCUUCUCUAAGGACCCUCCCUGUCAAGUUCUGUAUCCAUCAGUGGGUAGUUCAUUUAUUCUCUGAACACCCUUGAAAUGCCAAAUGCUGUGCUAAGGGCAAGAGAGACCACAAGAAACAACACAGUCUCUGCCCUCAAGGAACCUAGCAGUGAAAAGCGACACACUAUGAUAGCAGUGUGUGAUGAAUACAAGGUGCUGAGAUAUGUAGAAAAGGGGCCCUUCGUGCAUACUGGGCUGGGACUAGUUGGGGAGGUUCCUAGGGGAGGCAGAACCUAAGCCAAUGCCUAAAGUUCUAGAAGGAUGAGCCACGCGAGGAGUUGUGGAGAAUGGGGAAGAGUCGAAAUGUCCCUGAGGAGCCAUGUCGCACCAAGAGAAAGGCAAGUGCAAAAGUUAAGGAGCACCAGAUUUCAUGUGACAUCAAAGCUCUCAAUCAAUAUGGCAGGAGGCUAGAGCUGUGAGGGCAAAGUCAGGUAACCAAUGGAAGACAAAGUCUUGGGUAAAUGAUAAAGUACUCUUCAAACAACUGGUGUAGGAGUAAGUGACUCAUCAACUCUGGCAAUUGCAGAUUCAUAAUCUUUGACUUCCAAUUUGCAGCAGCCUCUGAAGAUUUACAGAGGAUUGGAGGAAGGGCAAAGAUUGUCACUCAACAUGAUGGCCUUUGAGUACUUAAAUUAUAGAUAUUGACAAGGUGCUGCCGGGAAAUUUUGAAGGUUAGCAUUUUGGUGAAUUGCUCUGUAAAACCACGUACAUAUUAAUAAUGCUAAGAGCGGUAGGGAUUAGCCUCUUUUGAGGUCUUACUCUGCUUCUGACACUAUUGUAAGUGCUGUAUGUAUUAGAAUCUAUUUAAUCCCAACUACUUAAAGCAUGGGUAUACUAUUACUAUUCCCAUUUUAUAGAUGAGGAAACUGAGAUACUGAGAGGUUAAGAGGCUUUCCCGAUGUCGCAGAACUUGUUCAUGGUGGAGCCAGAAUUGAAAUCCUAGCAGUCUGGUCAGAGCCCAUGUUCCUAACCACUAGACACCACUGCCUCUCCCCAGCUGCAGCUGGCGGGUGUUUGGACGAGCCUGCUGCCAAGCCUGGUGACCCAAGCCCGUUCCAGAAAAUGAGUCCUGGAAUAAAGGACAGAUCGACAGUAGGUGGAGUGUGCAUGGCCUGCCCUUGGCAUCCUGAAGCAGCCACUGUCUGAAAAUAACAAUUUGGGGAGUUCAAUUAACAGCACACUUGCAGGAACACCAAGAACAAGAGGAACUCCAUGGGUGAAUGACUUGGGGACAAAAAUCAGAAUUGAGGGGCCUUGGUUGCCAUCUUUCAAGCUGCCAUGGACAGCAACAGGCAGAGCUGAAUGUGCCCCGUUUUGGCAGGAGAGUGGUCAAGAUUAAUUACCCAGAUGGAUCGCUUUGCUCAGAAAAAGCCAGCAGAUGGUUUGAUGUAGUGACUUCUGCAACCAUAAAACCAGGAGAUGUAUAGCUAUCUCUGUGCUAAAUGGGGCCUUGAAGAGAUUAACCUCACGUAUAAAGUGAAAAUGAUAUGCAUGAGUUUUACCAGGUAGGGGAAACAACUCGUGAUCCUUGCAAAUAAUCAUUUCAUGCCAAGGAUGCUGGAUUCAAAUGUCAAACUAUGGAAAAGCUUUCUUGAAAGACAGCCUAUGGGACUGUGGGAGAAGUGCUGGAUUCUGAUAGGCAGAAGAUUAGAAUUUUAUGUCAACGCCUUGCAAAGAUCCCUGAAUACAUAAGCUUUAAGGAAAGGGGGGUAGGUUGGAAGUUCUGUUUAUUUUAUAGCCAAGAUAUAUCUUCAAAGUGAAUGUGUGUCAACGCCAUCAACCCAGCUGGGAGCUUUGUGACCUCCACCCACUCCCAGGGGAAGGUGAGAGUGAGGCCAGUUGGGGGUUGCAGGCUGGGCUGUGGUGUCUGGGUUGGCGCAUCUUACUGCCUCAUCAGCCUUACUCGCUGGUCCUACACUGGGCUGCAUUUCUGCCAGCCGCACGCGGCAUUUCUAAGGUGAAGAAAGAUGUUCAAGUCACAGCUCUGCUGCUGCCUAAUGGUAUGAUGUUGGGUGAGUCAACAUCUCUGAGCCUCAGUUUAUUUGUUGAUGAAAUGGGAUAACAAUCCCCCAGAGAUGUUGCAAGGAUUGAGAUAGUGAUAUGAAAAAGCUGCAGUCACCCUGACAUGCUAGCUGUCGUCGUUAGCAGGAUUUGAGGCGUAAUUCACCUGAUAUCCUCCUUCUACUGCUGGUCCUUCACACACCGCUUUGUUUCAUUUGUUUUUACCACAUUUUAUUGCACUAAAUUAGAUAUACCGUAAAAUUUACCAUGGUAACCAUUUUUAAGUAUACAGUUCAGGGGCAUGAAAUACACUCACAAUGUUGUACACCCAUCACCACUAUUCAUUUCUAGAACUUUUCCAUCAUCUCAAAUUGAGAUUCUAUACCCACUAAAUAAUAACUCCCCUCCCUUUCUUCCCUCCCCUAAGCCUCUGGUAACCUCUUUUCUAUUUUCUGUCUGUAUGAAUUUACCUCUUCUGGAUAUUUCAUGUAAGUGGAAUCAUAUGAUAUGAAACCUUUUAUGUUUAGCUUAUUUCGCUUAGCAUAAUGUCUUCAAGGUUGAUGCAGCCUUGAAACAUGAUGCAUGUUGCAGCGUGUGUCAGAAUUUCCUUCCUUUUAAAGCUGAAUAAUAUUCCAUUGUAUGUGUAUACCAUGUUUUGCUUAUUAUUCACCUGGUGGUUGUUUCCACUUUUUGACAAUUGUGAAUAUUAUUCCUAUGAACAUUCAUGUAAAAGUACCUGAGUUCCUGCUUUCAAUUCUUUUUUUUUUUUUUAAGGAAAUUUGACUUUUUUUUUUUUUUUGAGGAAGAUUAGCCCUUAGCUAACAUCUGCUGCCAAUCCUUCUCUUUUUGCUGAGGAAGAUUGGCCCUGACCUAACAUCUGUGAACAUCUUUUCUAUUUUAUAUGUGGGACAUCUGCCACAGCAUGGCUUGAUGAGUGGUGCAUAGGUCCACACCCAAGAUCUGAACCGGCGAACCCUGGGCCACCAAAGCGGAACAUGAGAACUUAACCACUGUGCCACCAGGGUGACCCCUCAAUUCUUUUGAGGAUAUACCUAGGAGUGGAAUUUCUGGGUUAUAUGGUUAUUCUAUGCUUAACUUUUUCAGAAACUGCCUGUUUCCCACAGCAGCUGUACCAUUUUGCAUUUCCAUCAGCAAUGUACAAGAGUUCCAAUUUCUCCACAUCCUCACCAACACUUGUUAUUUUCCGUUUUUUUAAUAGUAGCCAUCCUAAGAGGUGGAAAUGGUAACCUCUUUUGCUUUGAAGGGUAUCAGUUACAUCUCCACGGCAUGAGAAACCCUAGAGUAGAUACGGUUGUUUGCCUAUCACUGGAACUCUGGCAUGUCGGGGAGGGUUUUGGGUACCAGGAGUCCUUUCUGCAAGAGUUUUUACCCAAAACAAAAUGGUUUUCCAGGGACGAACUGGGAGAAGGACUUGGGGCUGUAAUCAGUUGACAAUUCUGUCCGUUUGUUCAUUUAUUCAUCCACUCAUUCAUUCAUCCCACAAAUAUUUAUUGAAUGCCAAUUUGGGUUGUAGGGAACAGGGAGGAACUGUGCUACAUGCUGUGGCAAGUAGAUCUCAGCAUCCACAAAACGGAGAAUUGGAAAAGACCUUAAGAAUCAUCUUGACCAAACACCUGCCCCAUUCAGGAAUGUUCCCUGAAACUAGAGAGCUAGGAUAGGGCUCAGGUUUCCAAGGCAGUGAUUGACCAGGAAUGAUGUAGUCCAAGCUGUGAGAUGAAACUCCUCUAACUUGCCGGAGAAUGAGUUUAAAACAAGGGCAAGCAUCUGUAGGAAGCUCUCUUUUUUUCCAGCUCACUAGACAGUCCGGUCACUUGAUCAGCUGGUGAGAUCUGGACACAGUAAAACAAGUGUCAAGCAAACAUGAUUAGAUAAGCCCUGAGUACUCACACAGUCCCUGCAUUGUGAUAACCUCCCACAGGAAUGUCACGGACAGGCUGUGUGUGGUGGGAGAUACCACUGACUUGGAAUUUGAGAGCCAGGCAGGAGUGUAUUUGAUUUCAAUCUGGGAAAAUUCCAGAGCACUGAAUUUAGAGGAUUUAUGAACACCAUCAUAUCCAUACAAUUGGAUUUCAUCAACAAACACAGACGUUUUCUAGCUCAUAUUGGGACAUUUCAACUAUAUUAAAAGGCAAAGAGAAAGAGAUGGAAACAGUGGUUAGGAUGCAAUUCACAGAUACAGUUUCCAUAUAUACGUUUAUUUUACUCUGGUUACACUCAAGCCUCAGGAGUCCACAAAUAAACUGGACUCACAGACAGCGUCAUUUCUUCAAGUCACGUUCUCUCUGUAUCCUGUACGCCCUCCAAAGCCACACAAAGGAGCAGGACUGUCCUCAUCUGCAUCCCUCAGGCAGAGAGCAGAAUUUUCCCAGAUCCGGGUGAAGAUUUGCAGGAAAAGCUUCCCAAUCUUUGUGAACAUCAUCACAGUCCAAGACGAUGGCUGAAAAAUUAGACUAAAUACUAUUACACUAAACUUUCCAUUAGUUGGAUGUCAUUCGAUUUUCAUUCCAUCUAUAUUCUUGGUGAUCUUCUG